UCCGCCCGCGCGGUUCGCUUCGUAUCGUUUCGUCCGUCCGGCUCCCCGCGCGAUCGUCCUGCCACUAAUUCCGUCCUUUUUUUCCCCGCUUCCCUCCAUCCUCCGCCUGCGCCGCCGGUUGCCAUCCCGCCUGCCCGCUUGCGCGGUCGACGGCCCAAUCGCCGCCCAUGCCGCUGCCCGACACACCGCCCCGCUACAGAUCCGCCGUUCUGAUGCGCGCCGCGGCUUCUCCGUCCCUGCGCAUCAUCCCAUCACACCACGGCCCCCACAACGAUGAGGAACGCCACAGCGGCGGCGGUAGCCCGUGAAGGAGCGCCUUUCCGUAGCAACGCACGCGACCACUCCGACGCCGCUGCGUCCUUCGACUCCAACGGCGCUGAUGGCCCUCCGAGUCCGAGGCCAACGUCCCCUCCGACGCCGCGACCUGCUCUCCGAUCGGCCGUGGCACUCCGUAGGUGCCCACGGAGAUCACGCUGAUCCGAUCUGUCGCAGCCUUGCCUAUCUGCUUUCCCUCCGAUGACGCUGUCCCUUCGUGGCUUCAGGAUCCAUCACGAGGGAACGAGUCUUCUGGUUGCCUUGCCGCUGCAACACCACGUACGUGCGGAGGCUCGCCACGCCAAGAGAAGAAACAAGAGAAAAAAAGAGAAGUCAGUAGUUUUGAAAGGGGAUGUCACUUCAGCCAGGGUUUUAGAGAGUAGAAGAACUGAGCAAUGACAGUAGGAGUCCUAGCAAUACAGUCUCAAUAGAUGAACUAGACAAACCAUUUGCAGUAGUUGUUGAUGAUGUUAUUCGAAAAAUGAGCGCACAGAUAUAUGCCACACAAUCGCUGCUCUAAAUUAUUUUGCUAUAAAUGAGAACUCACCUAAUUUAAGGAUAUUUGCUUUGCCUGGUAGAGAAGGAUUUGACGGAUGUUUGCUGUUUCCUGAACGUUAUGGUCGAUGUUGUCGUCAUCCUUUUGGGGCCUAUAAUGUGGAGGUUGUUGAUCAGCACGGACAAACGGCAAAAGUGAAGCUUCAAAACACUGCCAAGUGAUCAUGACUUUAGAGGGGACUUCCUCUGUUUCAACUACCCCAUGAUAAGUCUACAGUUGAUAUGCAAAUCUGAUUCUAAGGUAGAGGGGGCAAGGUAUAUUUAUUUACUGUUUCUGUUAUAUGAUAGUAGAAUGGAUGUUUGUGUCUUUAUCUCCAUAAACAUGCUUGUGAACAUGUUUAAUUGAGCUGUGUAACGAUCAGCUCUAUAGUUUUUAGGCAGUUUCUAGAGAUGUUCUUAUGCCAUAUUAUUUUUGAAGCCUUCAAUUACCAUGUGCAAUGGGGUGCACGAUGUACUUCAAAAGCAUAUGUACUUUUUUUAUAUAAUUCCAAACUACAAGCUUCAAGUACGAGAUUUUCGUAUGCUAUGUUUGUUUAUGCUUGUUUUUUUUAUCAAGCAACAUGUUUUUUUGUGGGUAAAAAAAAUCAUGUUAAGAUCAAAUUAUGGUACUUGUGCUCUAUGU
Molecule: long non-coding RNA, 1492 nt
Organism: Panicum virgatum (switchgrass)
Lineage: Eukaryota; Viridiplantae; Streptophyta; Magnoliopsida; Poales; Poaceae
Exons: 3
Source: RefSeq, a predicted model, not a curated record